GAUGAACGCUGGCGGCGUGCCUAAUACGUGCAAGUCGAGCGAACGGACGAGAAGCUUGCUUCUCUGAUGUUAGCGGCGGACGGGUGAGUAACACGUGGAUAACCUACCUAUAAGACUGGGAUAACUUCGGGAAACCGGAGCUAAUACCGGAUAAUAUUUUGAACCGCAUGGUUCAAAAGUGAAAGACGGUCUUGCUGUCACUUAUAGAUGGAUCCGCGCUGCAUUAGCUAGUUGGUAAGGUAACGGCUUACCAAGGCAACGAUGCAUAGCCGACCUGAGAGGGUGAUCGGCCACACUGGAACUGAGACACGGUCCAGACUCCUACGGGAGGCAGCAGUAGGGAAUCUUCCGCAAUGGGCGGAAGCCUGACGGAGCAACGCCGCGUGAGUGAUGAAGGUCUUCGGAUCGUAAAACUCUGUUAUUAGGGAAGAACAUAUGUGUAAGUAACUGUGCACAUCUUGACGGUACCUAAUCAGAAAGCCACGGCUAACUACGUG
This 497-nucleotide ribosomal RNA is filed under the name uncultured bacterium. RNAcentral describes it as "partial 16S ribosomal RNA". It matches the Rfam family "Bacterial small subunit ribosomal RNA", at positions 28 to 507 of the family's 1533-position model. The record is from RNAcentral.